AGCAGGCUUCGGGCAGGGAGCUCACAGCUGCGUCUCCCUCUGAGCCACGCAGCUUUUAUGGCCUGAGAGGGGUCGAGCAAGGCGCCAUAGUGAAGCAGCGUCUGGAGGCCGUAAUGUCUGUAUCCGUCUCGCUUCCCGAUGCAACGUGGUCAAGUUGUAAUGAAGGAUCUUUCCAUUGUUCUGAGUCCGAAGAUCUGGACAUAUAGGUGGCCUGCAAUGCUAAGUAUUUUGCAACAGAUCUUUCAGAAAUGGAAACCGGAUCUGUCAUGGCCACCAUGAUGGUGCUAAUAUACAGCUCAUGCUGUGACCUAGAAUUCAAUUCAGAAUGCUUGGAAUCAGUGGGAAAGGUGGGGAAAGGUAACCCAGUCCCAUUGUCCAUGGAAUUACAAAUGUAUCUUCCAGUCAUCCUCUUCCUUUCUCUGCUGUUCCCUGAAGUAUUGACUGCAUUUCCUUCAUCACAAACAAACCUCUCUGUGGAAACCCCCAUUCCUGGAAUAUUGGUUCCAGAUGUACAUCAGAUAUGGUCCAUUCAUUCAUUUCUGCUGUGCUCUGAGACAUGCUUAGACGGUCUGUUGUAGUAUUCCGUUUGCCUUCCAUAGGUAUGGCUAAAGCCAACACUAUGUUUCUUAUACACCAGUCUCAUAAAUGCAUUGUGAAAUGGCACAGAAAGGGUGACACUGUAACGCCCCCACCAACAUUUGUUUACAUAUGCUGUGGCUGACAUAGUGUCCAUUGCCACAUGCACAACCCUGUCCUGAAUUAUCGGAAAGAAUGACUUCAGAGCAUGAAACAGAACGAGUAACCCUUUCCCCAAUGUCCUCUUAAUCAUAUGACCCCAACAAUGUGCUCCCUUGGCCAUUAGGGAAGAAUUGGUGGUCACUACUUUUGAUGGUUGAGGAAGUUGAAAAGGCAUUCCUUUCAGGAAAUUUUUGCUGUCCUCCCACCAUCUCAGUGGCUGCAAUAUACUCAUUUGUAUUUGUAGACAUUUAUGUGGAUUGUCUUUGUUUGGUUGAAACAUAGCAUUCAACCAAAAUUACAAAGGCCUCAUUUUUAGUUUCAGUAGAGGGACUACUACUGUACAGGAUGCCAUCAGUCCCAGAAGACACUGAAAGUUCUCUGUUUUAUACUUUGUAUUCUGCUGGUCUUGGGCUGUAACAAACGAAUUGAACUGAAUGCUCUUUGCUGAUUGAAUAGCUUGAAUACCCGGACCCUGAGCCAUUUUUGGAAGGACGGUAUAUAAAUUAAAUAAAUAAAAAUAAUAAGUAAAAUAAAUAAACAGAAAAGCUCUUUUAGUGAUGUUGAGGACCGCUUUCUUCUCCUUUGUGGAGAUGUGUCUGAGUUGAAAGAAAGCACUGAUUUUUUCUUCUUCCUUUUAAUAUGUUCAGAGAUGUCCUGCUGACGUACUCAGAUUUUUGUGCUCCCUGAUUGUGGAUUGUUUGCUGUGCUGCAAUGAUCUGGACAACUUAUCAGCAUGCUUAGCAGUGACUCCUGGACGUGGAUCCCCCUGACCCAUUAUAUUCUCCUGCAUAAAAUCAUUGGAAGUUCUUCUGGUGGUUUCUAGACUUCCAACUGCAAAGUUGUCUAUACCAAUGUUGGUAACGGAGAAAGGAACUCUUGAAAAGCAAAAUUCCCUUGAUCUGGCCCAGAGACUGGGUGAAAAGAGAACUGAAGGGAGGGCACUCCAACUGCUGUUCUUCAAUGGAUAUGUUGCCUAUCUGCGGGCAAAACUGGAGCAUCACACGGAGCUCUAAGAGUGUCCCUAGGUCUCGACUGCACAUGCACACCCCACUAUGUAUGGAUUCCAGGAGGAUCUUGACAAGGAUCUUUCCCCCACUUUUAAACAUAAAAAUAGCUUCUGCAGUAAUGAAAAGGUGGCAUAGGCUUUGAUCUAGAGAAGUGUCAGCGGAAGGAUGCCUGUGCAGGAAGACUUUCCCAUCCCCCUUUCAUAUUGCAUCCUGAAAAGCCACUCCUAAGAACCCACCAGAAUGGCACGGGAUAUGGUGAAGGAGGACGCAAGGGGAGGGGAGGAAGGCUGAAAUUGGGUAAAGGCACAUUGAGCAAUCCCUCACCGGAAGUGUGAUAAACACAGUAACAUCACAUAGAGGAAUAUGUGGAACUUAUUUCUCCACUUGACUGGAACAGAAUUAGUAACUAGAGUAGGAACUUCAGUAAGCACAGAAUAGUUCAAAACCAGCCACUGUAGUCUGCAUUGCUACACUUCAGUGCACAUUUCAGAAAACAGACAAACUUUCCCCCACUUCACAUAAUGUGUUAGUAUUCACCCUCUCUCUAAUCUCAAAGCCUUCAGCAUGUAACACCUUUUCAAUUUUGAAAUUAUUUCAACAAUCAUAACGACUAAAAUAUACUCUUUUUCCGUUCUUGUUUUUUAAAAAUGCGUUUCUCAGAAAUUCCUCAAAGCGCAGUUGUGUAAGUCAGGAAGUUUAGCCAUGGCUUCAACUAUAACUUCAGUCCUUCCAUU
Molecule: long non-coding RNA, 2479 nt
Organism: Hemicordylus capensis (graceful crag lizard)
Lineage: Eukaryota; Metazoa; Chordata; Lepidosauria; Squamata; Cordylidae
Exons: 3
Source: RefSeq, a predicted model, not a curated record